Molecule: long non-coding RNA, 992 nt
Filed under: Fukomys damarensis (Damara mole-rat)
Lineage: Eukaryota; Metazoa; Chordata; Mammalia; Rodentia; Bathyergidae
Description: lncRNA (ENSFDAG00000030481.1)
Source: RNAcentral
GGAUGGAGUUCCAAGAUCAACAGCAGAGCGUGUUGCGUGUGUCCAGGCGGUGACGGGUGGAGACGGGAAGAUGGGGGCCAAGGGGGGCCCGGGAACCUCGGCACAGACAACAGCCUCUCCCUGGGCUCUCUCCUCCUGAAUUCUGCAGGAUCCGUGAGGAGUGAGGCUAGAGCAGGGCUCCCAACACCAUACCCAACUGGGCUGCCGCACACGCGGAAGAGUCAGGAAUCGGUAGCCUCCCGGGUGGACACUGCUCUCCCCACAGCAGCCCCAUCUCCCUUCCCCGAGUCUGGUGAACCCAAAUAGGUUUCAGAGCCACCAGCUGUGCCCGUAACUGGAACAGAGUGGAGACCAGUUAACCCGUGGAAGUCAGGAUCGGCGCCGACAUUCACUCGAGACAGAAGGUGAAGAAAAAUCAUCUUCAAAGCAAGAGAAGCAAAAAUAUGCAGAGCCAAAUACUGCAAGGGCCAAUAAUCCAACAGCUUCCUCUGUGAAGUUAAAAUUUCCACCCAGGGGAGCUACUGCAUAUCUAAUCUCCAAGUUCCUAUUAAAGUCUGAGAGGGAGGAAGAGGAAGGAAGAAGAGAGCUAAGGCAACACCGAGAAGGAAGAAAAACACACGGAGGACCGGGCCUUCCAAGCUGGGCUGAGCCUCUGGUUUCUGGAAAGAGCUCCGUACUCCCUAGGCGGUGUUACAGGAGACGGGGUGAGUUGAGUGGCCCUGGCUUUGUUUUUAUAUCAUAAAAUCUCAUCUUCAUAAGCUGUAAAAUCUCAGAAUUAAAACGGAAUCUGUCUCAAACGCACUUGAGCUUUUGUAGUGCUUUUUAGUUUUGCUUGCCAUUUUAUGAAAACAUCUCCAUGAAAGGUUGAAACAAAGCCAUGUAAAGCAGCAGGGAGAUUGGGCCCUCAAGGAGAGGCCAUCCGAAGAGCCCCAGGGCCGGAUGUGUCUGUCCAUGGCCUGUGGCCCACUUCCUCUCUGACCACCUUUAUCCCC